AAUGCCUAACGCCAGGAGGGAGAGACAAAGGGGCCUCUUCUUUAACACUGUGAAUAGCCCCAGAGUGAAUACAGCCUUCGACAGCUGUGGUUUCAUUCUCAUCACCGCUGGGCGAGUUGGGGGUGCUAAUUGUGAAGCUGGAGAGCUGUUAAAAUCAGACCAGAUUUGUUAAAGGAGAGGAGUAAGAUGAUACUUCAGACCAGUAUCUGCAGUGGCACAGGCACAAAAGCCCUAUCUCAGGAGAAGGAAUGAAAGGAAGGCAAAAAGGCCGUGAGAAAAUGAAAGAAGCUGGUUGAUUGACCCCUCCUCUGUGUCGCCUCAGCAACUUGUCCAUAUCAUUGUUACAGCACUUACCACACAGUUGUAAGACGGUACUGCAAGCUUACUUUCCAACGUGGCUGCAUCGUUUCACAUUCCCACCAGCAGUAUGAGUGUUUUAUAAAAAUUAAAUGAGAAGAAUGCAUGUGAAAAUGCCUAACAUGGUGUUUGGCACUGUAUCAGUCUGUUUUCACGCUGUUGAUAAAGACAUACCCAAGACUGAGCAAUUUACAAAAGAAGAAAGUUUAACUGGACUCACAGUUCCACGUGGCUGGGGAGGCCUCACAAUCAUGGCAGAAGGCGAUGGACGAGCAAGUCACAUCUUAAGUGGAUGGCAGCAGGCAGAGAGAGCUCAUGCAGAGAAACUCCUGUUUUCAAAAACCAUCAGAUCUUGUGAGACCCAUUUACUAUCAGAAGACCAGCACAGGAAAGACCAGCCCCCAUGAUUCAAUCAUCUCCCACCGGGUCCCUCCCACAAAACCUGGGAAUUAUGGGUGCUACAAGAUGAGAUUUGGGUGGGGACAUAGAGCCAAACCAUAUCAGGCACAUAGCUGAUACACUCCUUCUUUAAGAGGGUAGAAUAUGGUAUAUAUUGCAUUAUUCAGUACUAAAAGAGCUCAGAAUGACAUUGUUUAACCCGUGGUAUUUGCCACCUCCAAUCCAAGGAGCCAUAUUCCAGAGUUACAAGAGAAAGAGAAAACAUUUCAAGUUGAUGCCUGCGUUUCUAGGUAGAAUCACAUGAUGACUUCCUUCCCGUUAUUAUAGCCCUGGCUCCCUGUUAGUCAGGGAAGAUGAACCUAGAGGAAGUAGAAGGAAGAAGAGUGACAUGCAGGAAGCUUCCCUAGAAACAUUCUCAUUAGCCUUCCUUGGGUCUGUGCCUCGAUACACCAGCCCAUCAUCAUCAUGAUCAUCAACACCAUUAUCAUCAUCAUUGUGCUCUGUAGCAGCCACAGACCUGGCAGUUCUCAAUGGCCAUUUACAGAAUGCCCACAUGUGCUGGGCUCUGUGAGAGACUAUACAGACACUGGACAAUCAAGUGAAGAGUGAUUCUGCUUGCAAAUGGACAGUGAAGAGAGUGCUUCCCAUCCCUUCGUAUUUGCCUUUGAUGACUAAGAAUGAGGCACAUUGUUGCCUGUGGAGUUAGGAAAACAACUUUCCAAUGACCCACUUUCCCAUAUCUCUUAGCUAUUGCAGCUCAUACAAUCUCAGGGCUGGAAAAGAUCCUAGAAAUGAUCAGACUCACUUUGCAAAAGGACAUGAAAGUCCAGAGAAGCUGUGACUCACCUGAAGUCAGGGAACUCAUCAAUGAGAACAGGAACAGGAGCCUGGGUUACCUACUUUCAAGCUCAGCAGACUUUCCAGCAUACCACCAUGCCUCUCUUCUUGAAUAAUUUCCUGAAGUUCUAAGAAACAUGAGUAGAAUAUACCUGAUACUAAAACAAUAUGAGUAUUUCUGGUAGAAGUAGUAAAUUGCCUGUUUCUAUAUUAGAACAAUGAUUUUAUAAAGAUUAUUAUUACUAAGAAGACAAAGAGAAUAUUUCUGAAAUGUUGACAGUUGGUAUACUUUUCUGGAAUUCCAAUUUGCUUUCCUGGUUAAAUUUUGGAGUCUCAAAUUUUAUUAUUAAAUUAUCAUAUCUUUAACUAUUAAAUGGUAUCUAAUUUCAUGAUUGAAGACAGUAAAGGUGCUAGGUAUAAAAAGACAGCAUAAUCUUUCUAACAGUGCCGUGGAAGGGCCCUUUUGAAGCCAAAGUCUUCAAAUGUAAUUCAGCCAGAAUAUACUAUGGUAUUA
RNAcentral lists this long non-coding RNA (2107 nucleotides) under Homo sapiens (human). RNAcentral's name for it is "PREDICTED lncRNA (TCONS_00124778)". The record is from RNAcentral. Lineage: Eukaryota; Metazoa; Chordata; Mammalia; Primates; Hominidae.